RNAcentral lists this small RNA (66 nucleotides) under unclassified sequences. RNAcentral's name for it is "NAD+-I sequence". It matches the Rfam family "nadA riboswitch". The record is from Rfam by way of RNAcentral.
GGUUGCAACAUCCCCGUGGGUUGGGUGCAGGUUCCGUUGGGCCGGCACAGUGAAUCCACUGCAACU